Molecule: long non-coding RNA, 799 nt
Organism: Siniperca chuatsi (mandarin fish)
Lineage: Eukaryota; Metazoa; Chordata; Actinopteri; Centrarchiformes; Sinipercidae
Exons: 4
Source: RefSeq, a predicted model, not a curated record
GUCGGUGCAGGUGGUGUCGGUGUAGUGGAUCCGUCGGUGCAGGUGGUGUCGGUGUAGUGGAUCCGUCGGGUGCAGGUGGUGUCGGUGUAGUGGAUCCGUCGCGUGCAGGUGGUGUCGGUGUAGUGGAUCCGUCGCGUGCAGGUGGUGUCGGUGUAGUGGAUCCGUCGCGUGCAGGUGGUGUCGGUGUAGUGGAUCCGUCGGUGCAGGUGGUGUCGGUGUAGUGGAUCCCGCGGUGCAGGUGGUGUCGGUGUAGUGGAUCCCGCGGUGCAGGUGGUGUCGGUGUAGUGGAUCCCGCGGUGCAGGUGGUGUCUGUGUAGUGGAUCUGUCGGUGUAGUGGAUCCGUCGGUGCAGGCGGUGUCGGUGUAGUGGAUCCGUCGGGUGCAGGUGGUGUCGGUGUAGUGGAUCCCGUGGUGUCGGUGUGUAGUGGAUCCGUCGUUGCAGGUGGUGUCGGUGUAGUGGAUCCGUCGGUGCAGGUGGUGUCGGUGUAGUGGAUCCGUCGGGUGCAGGUGGUGUCGGUGUAGUGGAUCCGUCGGUGCAGUGGAUCCGUCGCGUGCAGGUGGUGUCGGUGUAGUGGAUCCGUCGGUGCAGGUGGUGUCGGUGUAGUGGAUCCCGCGGUACAGGUGGUGUCGGUGUAGUGGAUCCCGCGGUGCAGGUGGUGUCGGUGUAGUGGAUCCCGGUCGGACAAAAACAAGACAUUUGAGUUCUUGGGAUCUGAGAACUUGUGAUGAACGUUUUUCUGAGAUUUAUCGACUAAUUGAUUAAUCAGUUUCCUGCAGCCUCUGCUUUCCCUAACAUCUGA